AAAGGUAGGGUGAUCUUUUUUUUCCACUUCUUUAUUUGGUCGCUGGGGAUGGAUCGGCGGCGUGGGGUGGGGCGGGGAGGAGAAGGUAGAGCUAGGUUAGAAGGAGAGGGGAGUGGUACGGCGGCGGCGGGUCGGGACCGCGCGUUGCUCGAACGAACGAGCGUGGCUACAGCCGGUGAGGUGAGCGGCGGACGAUGGGAGCAGUAACGUUACAUAGGGAGAGACGGGCGUGCUUUGCGGCUCGUCGGUGCUGCCAUGGGUGCGCGGAGCCGGUACUGUUGGAGCUAUAGGUACCGUUCCACCGGCCGCCGACCGCCUCCAGUCCAACUCGUCGACCCUAAACCACCGGCCAGCCGCUCCGUGACUUCCUCCUACAGGGUCCGGAGUCCUCAAGCCUCCGCUCCAGUCCACCGCCGUGCUGCUCGAUUACCUUCCCCGCACUCCCACGUCUGGACCGGCCUCCUCCAGCCCGGUCUCGGCCCCCCGUAUCUCCCGUCGGCCAAGUACCCCCCGGUCCGGACCGUCCCACCAAGCGCUGGGUUCUAGCCGGUGUCCGAUUCCGGCUGCUCGCUCCAUUUAAAUAACAGGCAAAUGUAUCCCGAUCUCGUUCUAGCCGGUGUACGAAACCACCCUGAAUAGACUAAGAAGUGUGUUAGACGUUCGACAGGUCUCCAACUUAUUGUGAUCGCUAAUAGAGAGUGUGUGGUCGUUAAAGAGUUAUAUAUCACGGCAAAACUAAUCUAUUCAAACACAGCCAAAAUGUACCGUGAAUAGAGACCGAGUGUCUGUGAAGGUACCUGGAAACGAUGACGAUUGUCAGACAUAACAUGUGAGGCUGCAGGUGUUGGUUUAGUUCCUGCCCUCAAACGCUCCGUGACUUCGUGUCGCGUUCCCGUGGUAGAGGUACCGGUUGAGGCCCUGGUUCCGCUAGCUGUAAAAGAACCGACCAGGUACCACUAACGAGGGUACAGAGACAAUAAAAAACAAGAAAUGUUUUAAACGAAGAUAUUAUAGUAGUAAAUCACUUAAAAUGGAUGGAUGUGCUCUAUACUGACCGCGAAGGGAUAAGAGAUUCCAUUACAUAGUUAAACGACGAAUCAAUCCUUCUCCUACUUAGUACAACCUAAACGUCGCUCUCCUUCGAACAGCUGAACUACUUGUCCCAUUACAAAUGACUCCCGCCGAGCCGUUCCUCCUCUGGCCUACAAACAGCAACUGGAUGAAACCUUCACUCGAAUAAAUAGAGUAGACCAGCAACAAAGGGGAACUAAUUGAAAUCUACCCCUUCGAACUAGAGUAUUACAGGUACCUCUAUUUCGCCGAGCCUGUUUCGUUUCCUCUUUUAUGUACGGGUUUUGACAACUAGGACUAAAAGGCUGUUAUUAGUGAAGUAUACUCUACCGGUACAAACUACGUUUUAAAAGAACGAUUAAUAUUCACCUUCAUACAACAACAUCUACUCCCCGUAGCCAACUUUUUACGUUUCACGUUUAAUAACUCCCUCAACUCCGCGUAAAGUUACCUAUUGUUCGAGGAAAACUGAACUUGUGGAGAAAUCUUAUUAGAUCGUCUGAACACCAGCGAUGACUUAAAGUAAAAAGGACUAUAUAAGAGUAGGGUACUGCUUAAACUAAGUACCAAACUAAAAAGACCUUCAAACUACUCCUUGUUCUCCUUCUUUGACUACUCUUCUUUUCUCAGGAACAACAGAGUUUCGAAGUACGGUAAAACGCAGGUGAGGAAAAUUCCCCCCACCUCCUCCUACAUCUUAUGUACGAGGGUGCUUUCUUUAUUAGUAUAUACGAUUGUACUGACUUAUAAUCUUCUUUUAGGUCUCAGUGAACUAACUCGUCUGUAAACCGUUGUUGAACGUACUCUCACGUAUAUAACCACCUCUCUUCUCCUCGCCCGUUACGGCACCUCCUCUUCUGUCACCACUUUUCUUCCACGCCCGACUUACUUCACCACAGUUCCCCUCCGACGUCACUCUACAGCACCUCCCCUCACUACCGUCGCUG
RNAcentral lists this ribosomal RNA (2018 nucleotides) under Triticum aestivum (bread wheat). RNAcentral's name for it is "partial small subunit ribosomal RNA". Lineage: Eukaryota; Viridiplantae; Streptophyta; Magnoliopsida; Poales; Poaceae. The record is from RNAcentral.